RNAcentral lists this unclassified non-coding RNA (10142 nucleotides) under Leishmania donovani. Its description in RNAcentral is "gene:LdHU3.12.0650(CDS-product:hypothetical_prote in_conserved)". Lineage: Eukaryota; Euglenozoa; Kinetoplastea; Trypanosomatida; Trypanosomatidae. The record is from RNAcentral.
CUCUCUUAUUUUUAUCACUAAUUGUUCCGAACCCCCUCCCGUCUUUUGUCGUUCUUUUUUCUUGUAAUUCAACCUUUUCCAUUUUUCGUUUUUUUUUUUCCUCCGUCUAUGUUAAGCUUUUGAUUGCUUUCACAUCUCUCUCUUUCUCUCUCUCUCUCCCUCUCGCUUUCCUUCUUUGGAGAAUUAUUCACCGCGUGCCGCCCUCUCCUCAUCACUCUUGCACUCCCUCUUUCCCACCUCUGUCUCUUCCGUGUUUUCGUGCGCUCUCUCUUUCAUUUGCCGUCUUCAGCUCUCCUACCUCCAAGAGAAAGACAAACACAACAUCGCAAGGCCAAGAGGUGCUCUCUCCCUCUCUCUUCCACUCACUCACAAGAAACCAACGCACUCACAUUUUCUUUUCGCCUCUCGCUCGUGUGCCGUUCAUCAACUUGUAAUUCGCCUCCCUUUUCGCUGCACACACAAAUACAGAGGUCUUACAGACGCCGCUUUUUCUGGAGCGCCUUCAUCGUCUCUUCCACUCUGCAUUCCGCGCUCAACUGUGCGUGUGUCUGCCCCGCCUCUCUUCUCUCUUCAGAAAAGGGAGAAAACAGCCUCGCCUUUCGCGGCUGCCGCUCGCCCUACUAGUGCUACUGCCCCACCGCGUGCGCUAAUCCCUGCCUCUUCUUGUCUUUUUACCAUCUGUUUUUGGCUGCGCUCUAGUUGAGUUCGCGCAGCCUCCUUUCACAGUUUGCGUCGACCACUAACCGUUCUCUCUCUCCUUCUCCCAGACUUUGCCGUCUUUCGAACUCUUUCCUCCGUUUUGUGCGCUGUUUUGGUGGAUCAACUUCGUUUCCUGGUUUCACCUCUCUGUCUCUGUAUAGCUUCACCCAAGCACAGAUACAUUUUCUCUGUUUCUCUCUGUCGGUGAAAAAAAAAGGAAAAGGUCUUCUUCUUCCAUUUAAGGCUCGUGCUCAUCAUCAACCCCAUUCCCCUCGCACCUCCCCCUCACACCCUCGGCUUCCACAUCGCCCUUUGCCCUCCCUCUCUUCUAACUCGUUGAGCUGUGUGCUGUGCGGUGUAGUGUAUUGUGUGUGCGUGUGUGGCUCCCCACCUCUGCCCCGCUUUUUUUGUUCGUGUGUGCGCUUUUCUCGUUCGCGUUUUGUUUGGCCCUUUUACCACCACCACCACUACCACCAUUAUCACCACCGAGAACUUCCGUCUGUCUCACCCUCUCUUCUUGGAGUUUAUUCUGGUGGUUUGUUUUGGUGUUUUCGGUUUGUUGUCUCCCUCGUCUGUGUGUGCGUGUGUGUGUGUUUGUUCUUCUGUCGUCUCUUUUUUUCCGUUCCUGUUUGCUCUCGCGCGUGUUGCCCUGCGCUCUCUUUUAUUUUAUUUUUAUUUUUGUUAUUUCCUCUGUGUGCGCUGCGCCUACACGCUCUCCCGCUUUCGUUUGCGCCUAGCUUUUUCCCUUUGCGCGUGUUUUGUGUGGGAUCGCCUCCUCUACUUCUCGGUGGGUCCCUCUCCUUCAAUCCUUCUUACGUUUUAUCUUUUGAAUCUCGUUUUUUUUUAUUGCCGUUUUUUUUUUGUUUCGGCUUACGCCCGUUUGUGCGAUCAGCUUCUCUCUGUUUCCCUCCUCUGUGUGCGUGCGUGUGUGCGUGUGCUAUCUCUUCAUUGUUGUUUGAGGCUUCUUUAACUGGCUCUCAAAGAAAGGAGCCUUUUUCUUCCCCUCUCUCUCUGCCGGCAUAUUUUCCGUCUUUCCAUUGUUGGCCAUUGCGUGUGUCUGUCUCCCGUCGUCUCGGCGCUUGCGUUGUCCUUUACAGUUUUUCUUUGCCUUUUGUUUUCCUUCUUCUCCCCUCGCGCGUGCUUCGCGCUGUGCGCAUCUCUUUCUGUUUCCCCCUUUUCUUUGUGUGCCGCCUCUCCCUCUCUGUUUCUCGUCGGGCCUUUCUGACGCGUGAUGGCAUACUUGCCUACAAACACGGCUGAGCGACUCCCGACGAGCAGCUUCUCCAUCACCGAGCCCACCGCGUCCUCUACGAUGCUGCCGGCGCCGCAUUCAUCAGCAAACACGAGACGCAUUGAGGGACUCGUCGUCGUCCCCGGCAUCGCUAAAGUAAGCGGGAGCGACGUCGCCUCCCAGUACACAAUGCCGCACACCAACAACGCACCGCUCCUCUUUUCGGAACCGGAGCACCCGGCCGUCGACAACUCUAGCGGCAGCAACGACGCACAACUCGAACCAAAGGACCCGCACCUGGGCCUCAUGCCGCACUGUCUCUCAUGUACCCUGCUCACAUCUGCUGGGGCGCAGGAGCCCGAGGACGUCUAUGGCCGCUCAAUGCCAUCGUCAUCUGCCGUAGGCGCUGUCACAACGGCGCUGGGGUGUGCCGUGGUGCCGACGCUUCAUGCGUCCUUCACUCCUGGGGCAAGCACGUCCAUCAUGCCUGCGCCCACCGAGGCUCACAGCGCAUGUGGCUCACGUCCCCUCCAGCAGCACCGCUGGGGUGGCAACUACGACAGCGGCAGCCAGUGCGUGUCCUUCCGCGGCGCCGAUCGAAGCAAUAAUGUCAGCGGCUGUGGUCUGCGACUCGUCGGCGAUGAUGUGGAGUGGCUGCAGGGCAGCUUCGAAGACAGCGCGUCCUCUCCGCGAGAGGAGGUGCAGCUGUCGUGGGGGCACCUGCAGCGCCAGCCGUGCACGGGCAAAAGCAGCGCCGCUCGAGCGGUGCCGCCAGCUCUCCACGAUGCUAGGGAAGGCACCGCUCGGGAGAAGGCGCUUGCGGCUCACUACCGUUUUGAGCGUGCGGUGCAGCCACAGCCGCAGCGGCAGGGCGCUUUUCUGAGCGCUGACGAGGAAAAUUGCCAGGCAGCGGCCAUGCUGUGGGCAGCGCAGCAGAUGGCCGUGUUCGACUGAUGGAGUAACCCAGCGGCGCACAUGUGUGUGUGUGUGUGUGCCGCAUAGCCAUACCCACGAACACCUCCCCAUGCGAAGCGCACACAUUAAAGUCGAUGCAUCUCAACUGUAAGCACGCCGUGCCAGCAAGCAGGAAGUGAACAGGAAGAGCUGACGGAGGCAGGUGUGAGGGCUCAUCACCAGUAGGCAUGCAAAAGCCUCUUAGGAAGCUGUCUCUGCGAAACAGGGAGGGGAGAGAAGGGCUUUUUUCGUGAUGGAUGGUGGCUGCUGCUCGCCUGCGUAUGCAUUAGGGAGGUGGGGCGCAUCAACACGAUACGUUCAUGGCAUGAUGCAGCGUAGCGAUCGAGUGAUCCGAAGACACAGACCAACUCCUCGAAAGCAUACGCCCUGGCGUAAGGCACUGGUGCCUUUCCUUCCCUCCCACUCUCGGUCUCUCCCCGGCUGCCUCGCCUCAUCGGCCACACAUACCCACACGCCUACACACCCACAGAGAGAGUUGCUCAGCUGAUGUGCGCCACCCACAUGCGAAAUAGUACUAAGAAAACAAAAGAGUAAAGACACCUUGCAAGGGUCCAUGAUGCGAAGGCUGCGGACCAGCGAAGGGCUCGUGAGGACUAUCUUGUCCGAGGUGGCAGCCCUCUCCCUCCUUCCCUCGUUCCCAACGCGAACAACAUCAAAAAAAGAAACACACGAAAGAAUUGCCCCUCCUCCUCCUCCCCCAAACAACAACAAAAAGGCGUCUCGCUUGUUCGUUUUCACGCCUUCUUUCGACGCUCAUUUCUUUUUUGUCAUUGUUUCGCGGAAAAGCUGUCCGCCAUGUGCGCUUUCUUACUUCUCUGUUGGCUUCAGAAGACGCGCAGUGCACUCCACCCCCACCUCCCUCAUUCGUCCACGGAUAUACCUCCCCCGCCUAUUACACGCAACAAACAAACAACGGAAAAACGAAAAAGUGAAAGUUACAUCAACAGACGCGUGCCGAUGCAUGAUGGAUAAGGAGAUAGAGACGUACUCGCUCUUAAGCUCGUGUGUGUAGACGGAUGUCCGUAUAUAUGUAUGUGUAUGCUUAUACAUGAAUUUAUGUGGAUGUGUGUGUGUGUGUGGCUGUAUUGGCUCACCGGUGUGCACUGUCCGCGUACAUGUGUAAACGGAUUGCGGGUCUGAGGGGGGGGGCAUGAAAAGAAGUAGGCUGAAGAUGAAAUAACACGAGCGCGCAGGCAAAAUGAACCCGUGGGCACGGGGAAAACAAACAAAAAUAAGAAGGGCAUCUGUAGGGGAUGCCUGCGCUUUUAUUUUUUUUUUUGUCGCAGUCACUCUCCCAAGUAAAAGCGCGAGCAAGAGAGGGAGAAUGGCGGUGGUGGAGGGCCGCAGUGCGGCAGCUGCCCUUGCGGCCGUUGGAGGCGAACGAGAAGGGUAAAAGGGAGAGUGAGGUGCAUUAAGCGCGAGAGGAAAAGUUUAGACCACCCGCACUAACGCAAAAUAGAAGAGAAGCGCGAAAAAAAAAAUAGCCAACCACAGCAAGGAGGGGCAAGAGAAACGAAACAGAUGGGCGAACUAUCGUGGACUCGCGUGCGUGCAGCAGUGAAAUGUUUAUGCGACGUAUUUUAUCCUCCUGUUCUCCUCCGCAGUCUUUGCAUGCUCUUUUUUUUACUUUCUCGGCUGCUUCCCCAUGACUCCUCUCUGCCUGGGUUUGUCUGUCAACACUUGCAUUUGUGUCUUUAGCGCGCACUCGCCUGUGCCUGUGCAUCUGUGACGGUGUGAUCGGCUGUGGUGGUAUCGGCUGCUCACCCUUCUGCAUGUGUGCGUCUCUGCGUGUAAUCGCUCUGCUUCUCUCUAUCUCCCUCUGAACUCGUGCGCGUCUUCUGACUCUCUUCCGACACGGCUCCUUCAACUAGCUCGCUAUUGUCUUUUUUUUUCGCCACUCCGCUGUAUGUUUCCUUGCUUGUCAAUGUCUCCGUUAUGUGUGCGCGUGGGUGUGUCCUCAUCAGUCUUCCUGAACUCUUUCCUGGCUUGUUUUAUCUAUUUUACGUUGCACUCCCUCGCAAAGGCCUUGCGAGCGACACUGAUCGCCUUCUUUCGCCCUUCUCCAUGGACGCCCUGCUGAAAGAAGUUCAUCUAUGGUUACAUCAUGUUUGCGCGUUAUGAUUGUUUUUUUUUUUCGAUGCUGCUCAUGGAUGGUGGUGCCCCCGUGCAUGUAUAUUUCCGUUUCCGUUUUUUUUUAUUUGUGUGUGUACUGGCGCGCGACCCUAUGAGCACCUUUGCGCUUGCUUUCGAUGAUCGGUAUUUUUUUUUGGUUGUUCACUGAUACUCCCCUCAGCUCGUAUAUACUGCUGUCCGUCUUUCUCCACUCUUAGUCGCUACGAGCCCUUUUUUAAAUAUUUUUAUGUGUUCUUUCAUGACGUCAAGGCGCACGUCCUUCCUCCUCCUCUUGUGCUCUGGUUUUAUUUUGCCCCCCCCCCCCCCCCCCCCCCCGCUCUUUUUUUUCGCUUGUGCUCAGCUUCAACUUCCAGCGCGGCCACUAUUAGUACUGCCCCACGUCCUCUGCUGUCGUCCCUUUUUUUCCCUGCCUUUUUCGCGUGAAUGUUUUCAUGCAAAUAUAUAUAUAUAUAUAUACAUAUGUGUGUGUGCGUGCUGCUUUCCUUUUCUGCUGUUUUUUUUUUCGUGCCCUCGUUUUGGAGGGUUUGCGCUGUUUUCUAUUCUUGUCGUGCACCACCGACGCUCCCGCCCCUCCCCCCUCCCCCACCACAACGCUCUAGUUAGUCUUUUCCCGGAAGCUGUCGUUCUGCCAUGGCGAUAGCUGUCUUUCAUCUUUUUUUUUUGAUUUAAAGUGGAGAGAAAGCCAACCCACGAACAUCAUUCUGUUCGUGUCUUGGUGGUGGUGGCGGGCGGAACUGCCGCUUUCGAGUGUGCCGGGAUGCGUUUCACUCGCCUCUUUUUUUUUCGUUGCUGUCUGUUCCCGUCUUUAUUUGUUUUGUGUUGUCGGUUAGCUUGUGCUUGCGUGUUUGGCUUGCUUUUUUUUUCGGCCUCUCUGCGUAUCUCUUUCUCCAUUCUGUGUCGCUUUUUUUUGUAAUUCAUGAUGGUUCUUCCAGUUGUGGCUCUCUCUUUUUAUUCCUCGCUUCUCCUUGUGCUCCGUUUUGUUUUAUUUUAUUGUAUUUUUUUGUGUUUUCACGCUACUCUUCCCUCCACCCACCCUCUCUCUUCCUUGCGGCCCUGCGCGAUAAAGAGAAAAAAGUUGUGUUCGGCGAUGUAUGCUCUUUCUCUGUUGACGCUCUUCUCGUUGUUUAACAGGCGGGGUGCGCGUCGGUGCGUACAUGUCUGGGCUUUUUGUGUCUGUUUUCGCCGCUCAGCAUAUGUGUCUGUGUUUAUGCCUUCGCUUCUUCGCUCGCCGAGCACUUUUUAUCGAGUGAUUUUGGCUCCUCUCUGCUUCUGCUUAUGUCUGGAGAGGUGGACGUUUUUCUAACCGAAGCUGAGCAAGAAAACAAAUAACACACACGCGCACGCGCAUAUUUGCAGAGAGCACGAUGCAGAACCUAAGUAGCGCCCGAAUAAAUAAAAGGGCGAAACAGGAUUUCUCAAGCGAAGUAGACGAAGGAUCGAAAGAAUGACAAGAGGCGAGUGCGUCGAGGUAACUUAGCGCAUCCCCAUCCUUCCCAGACAUCUACGCACACACACACACACACUCCUGGGAUGUGGGCCUCGCUAAGUUCGCAUGACGGCACUUUUCACAUCCCCUCUUGUAUGUUUCUUUUUUUUUUUCCCGCUUGCUAAACUCGCCGCGGGCUCUUUCAUGUGUCGGUGAGGGCAUGACUUUGUAUUUUUUUUGUAUUUUUUGUUUACUUUUUUGUUGGGCCGUGUGCUUUCCCUUCCUCCCUCUCUCCGCUUGUUUUGUUUUUGUUUCCGCUUCUCUUUCUCGCAGCCCUCGACGUGUGCCCGUGAGACUGACCUUGUCCUCGCUUGCGAAGCCUUUUUCUUUCUUCCUCGUCGCUGAUUAUGGCUGUUCUCUGCACGUAUGCGCUCUCCCCGUGAAGUGCAGAGGUGCCGUGGUGGAUGAUGCGUGAGUGUGUGGCAUUUGUUUUUCCCUCAGAGAUCUGAACGACUUCUUAUGGUGAACGCCGGUGUAAAAACGCAGCGAGGCUGCAAGAAGCCAUACCGUGUUAGCGCGCCAGCGAAGGAACCAAAUGGAGCGGGAGAGAGGGGUGGAAAAGAAGGUGUAUGCAAGAAGCACGUCGCUGGGCACUCGCGCGACGUGCUUGUUGCACCGAAAUGCGCGCGUGGGAGUUUGCACGUUCAGGUACUCCGUGACAGACACACAGCACGCGAUGCUGAACAGCAAACAAAAAAGGAAGAGCGAAGAAAGAGCGAAGCGCAAUCAAAGAUGUCGUCUGUAUAUUCGUUCACCGUCGGAAAAAAAAAAUGCAUGAAAAAAUUGAAACAGACGCGGCGCAGCAUCCAGGGCUUGCGCUGCUCUCUCUUCUCCACAUCCCUCCCUCUCUCCUCCUCCUUCUGCACUGUCUCUCCCCCAACGUUUCUCCUUUCUCCUCCCUAUGGUUUUUGUUUCGUUUUAUGUAUGCUUUUUUUCCUUUGUUUUCAACGUUAGGCGUUGAAGAAGUGUGCCUGUAAGGGGGGCGAGAGGGAGACGGGCGUGUGUGUGUGCUUGUUCGCAGGAGAAAGUGAGGAGGGGAAGAGAGCAUAUUUUCUGUUUUUUUUUUUUGGUUUACUUUUCUGGCGAGCGCGUGCUCUUUAUCUGCACGAGUUAUGCGGCAGAAAGGGCAGAGAACGCCGUGUCCGUCAAACGGUUCUACGGAGGCAAAGAAAAGAGAGAAGAGGCGAAGUGGAAAACGAAAACGCGCCGAGGUCACGAAGAUCUGUCUGCGCGUGUAACGGAUGGAGGAGUGGAGUUCCAGAUGAACGGAACGAAGAACAUCGUGAGGGGUACGGGGCAUGUCAACAGAGGUCAAAUCCACACCUGAACACUCGACAGUAGCCGAAGGGAUACAAAGAGCGCGAUGGAAACCACCAGAAGAAAAGACGAGGCGGAGCUGCAGAAAAGAAAAACGUCUUUGCGUUCUUUUUUUUCCCCGACGUAUCCCCUGUGGUGCAUGUGUGGGAGGCGAUUGCCAUGUCGCGGAGGUUCUCUCUCACUGUCGUUUCCUUGCUCUCAUCACUGUCAGCACUUUCAUUCGUGGGUUUCUUUUUCACGUUGUCUCUCCUGCCCCGUGUCUUCUCCCUCUCUCCCUCUCUCCCCACUCUCCCUCCCCCUCCUUCAUGGCUGCCUUGCUGCCUACUCUCUCUGUGAGUGUUUGCACGUCCACAGAAUCUCUGUUCGCUCGGUCACCUCUCCGCCGCCCCUCCUCCCCAAGCCUUCCUACACCAUCUUUCGUUGACUCUUCUCCUUCUGCUCUAUGCUUUUUUUUUAUUGGUUUGGCCUUGAUAACCGUUGUCUUGUUCUUCUCCCGCUUCUCCCCCCCUCUCUCCCUCCCUCUUCCUCUUCCUUGACUGUGUAGCCCCUUUGAAUGGCGCAUUUCUUUUGGAUCUUUUUUUUUCGGUUCGCCUGCUGCUUUGCUGCACGUCUGUGCUCGUUUCUCGCUGCCUUCUCCGACUCUUUCUUUCUCUCGCACACGGACCCACACGGCCACACCCGAUACAGGUAGCAUCUUCCCUGUGUGUUCGUUCUGCGCACCCCCUUUUUUUGUCCUUAGCCUCUGCGUUUUUCUAUUUUUUUUUUGUGUGUGUGUGUGUGUGCCGUUCCAGUAGAGGAGAACAGUGUGGAGGAGUAGGAGAGAAACACAAACAACAACAGCAAACAAACAAACAACAAAAAAACAGCACGAAUAUGAAGAACGACAGCAACACAGAGAGAACAGGCCGAGGAUCAAGCACGCCUUACAUCCUCCAGUAAUCCUCCUCCUCCGGGGCGGGGCAUGCAUGUGUGUGUGUGUGUGUGCAUGAGAUGCUUAUGUGUAUAUCUCUGCGUGUGAUGCAUCCUGGCAUCCUCAUGGUGCACGGACUCAUACACACAAAACUCACACGCAGGCCGGCAUGCACACACAUAUACACACACGGACACACACACGUACAAAUAUAUAUGUCUGUAUAUGUAUGCAUGUGCGCAUGUGUGUGUGUGUUUGUGGUGCCCAACUCAUUCAGAAGAACACCAUUGACACGAAAACAAAAACGCAGCAUAGACGGCAACAGCAACGACAAGAAAGAACCAGAAAGGCAAAGGCAGCAAUAUGAUUCAGGCUCUUUUCCUUUGUGUUUCAGAAUCAACGCCGCACCGACGCCCCAAAUAAGAGCACAAGAAAGAUGCACAGACAGACAUAGAAUCCACACGCCGUUCACGCAUCUGCACAGAUUCUCCGUUAGCUGCACGUGUGCUUUUCCUUCUCCGUAGGAAUGAGAUGCAAAAGGAAGAAGACCACACACACACACACACACACACACGCAGACACGAACACUAAGCGAAACGAAAAAGCAACUGAAGCAGAAAAGAAUGAGGGACGUCUUCGUGCUUUUUUUCUACUGGUGUCUUUGCGUUUUCCAAAAUUCGCUUUCUUGUUUAGUUUGCUUCUCUUAGUCUAUAUCCUGGCGCUUGUGGUGCAUUUCUUUUCGCCUUCUUGCUUCUCUGCCUCAUUAUUAUUUUUUUUAUCUUCGUGUUCCUGAGUUUCCUUUCUGGAUCUCCUGCGUGUGUGUGCGUGGAUGUGUCUGUGCGUGUGCCCCUCUCGCCCUGUUUCUGUGGUCUUCUUUUUUUUAACUUUUCAUGUUCCCUUUGUUGGGUACCUCCCUUCCUCUCUCCUUUUCUCGCUCAUUCUUUUCUUUUUCGUGCUCUAUAGCUUCAAGCCUUCGUCAUGGGUAUUAUUUUCUUUUUUUUUGCAUGUUUGUGGUUGGUUUCCAUGUUUUUGCGUUGUGUCGCUCUCACUUUCAUCAAAAAUCAACAUCACGCGGCUGCUUUCCCUUUUUUUCGUAUAGUGAAUCUGAGGAGAGGGGCUGCUUUGAUUCUUUUUCUAUUUUUCUUUUUUUUUUGUGCUAUAUAUGUAUGUUUUAGCCCGUUGCCCACGCGUGUUUUCUUUUUUUUUUCAAUUUUGGGCUGCCCUGCAUUGAAAGGGUUUACACUCUUCUUGUGUGUGCGUGUUCAUAUGUCUGUGGUGGUUUGCCAUGUAAAUGAAUAUAUAUAUAUAAGCACGUGACGUAUACGUGUGUUCAUCUCUAUAUCAGUCACCUUUGUCUAAUUUUUUUUUAACGCCAUGCGCGUGCGCAUUCG